This is a non-coding RNA of Salvelinus sp. IW2-2015, 134 nucleotides long. The record is from RefSeq and is a predicted model, not a curated record. Lineage: Eukaryota; Metazoa; Chordata; Actinopteri; Salmoniformes; Salmonidae.
GUUCCUUUAAUAAUUUCCUUUAAUAAUAACUUUCCAAUACCUCGCAAAAAUACUUGGGUUAGUAAAGCUAAAUGAAUGUGACAGGGACAUUAGAAGCUCCAUGCAUUAAAGGCCUUAUUGCUUGACGAAUAAAA